GGUCGUCGUUCGCAUGUCGACCACGAGGCAGCGGCCAUUUUGGGACAUACGAACACAUAGCGGUGUUCGGUACAAACUGUAUGGAACUAAAAACGGACACUUAAACUACCGAACACCGCUGGAAGCUGCUGCCUACCUUCCAUUUCGACAAGGCAUGCGAACGUCGGUCGUUCGGGAGUUUUUAUUCAUUCGUAUGGACUUUCACCCAGACAGCCAUCCCAUGGAGUCAUUCGUAUACCGAAGGACUGGUGAAAGACUUUGACUCCAUGGCGAUUCGACUAGAU
Molecule: non-coding RNA, 284 nt
Organism: Pelobates cultripes (western spadefoot toad)
Lineage: Eukaryota; Metazoa; Chordata; Amphibia; Anura; Pelobatidae
Source: the annotation of a GenBank genome assembly